RNAcentral lists this ribosomal RNA (748 nucleotides) under Pseudomonas fulva. RNAcentral's name for it is "bacterial SSU rRNA". It matches the Rfam family "Bacterial small subunit ribosomal RNA", at positions 38 to 783 of the family's 1533-position model. The record is from RNAcentral. Lineage: Bacteria; Pseudomonadati; Pseudomonadota; Gammaproteobacteria; Pseudomonadales; Pseudomonadaceae.
AAAAGUAAGGUCUAAUAGCAAGUCGAGCGGAUGACGGGAGCUUGCUCCUUGAUUCAGCGGCGGACGGGUGAGUAAUGCCUAGGAAUCUGCCUGGUAGUGGGGGACAACGUUUCGAAAGGAACGCUAAUACCGCAUACGUCCUACGGGAGAAAGCAGGGGACCUUCGGGCCUUGCGCUAUCAGAUGAGCCUAGGUCGGAUUAGCUAGUUGGUGGGGUAAUGGCUCACCAAGGCGACGAUCCGUAACUGGUCUGAGAGGAUGAUCAGUCACACUGGAACUGAGACACGGUCCAGACUCCUACGGGAGGCAGCAGUGGGGAAUAUUGGACAAUGGGCGAAAGCCUGAUCCAGCCAUGCCGCGUGUGUGAAGAAGGUCUUCGGAUUGUAAAGCACUUUAAGUUGGGAGGAAGGGCAGUAAGUUAAUACCUUGCUGUUUUGACGUUACCGACAGAAUAAGCACCGGCUAACUCUGUGCCAGCAGCCGCGGUAAUACAGAGGGUGCAAGCGUUAAUCGGAAUUACUGGGCGUAAAGCGCGCGUAGGUGGUUCGUUAAGUUGGAUGUGAAAGCCCCGGGCUCAACCUGGGAACUGCAUCCAAAACUGGCGAGCUAGAGUACGGUAGAGGGUGGUGGAAUUUCCUGUGUAGCGGUGAAAUGCGUAGAUAUAGGAAGGAACACCAGUGGCGAAGGCGACCACCUGGACUGAUACUGACACUGAGGUGCGAAAGCGUGGGGAGCAAACAGGAUUAGAU